Rattus norvegicus (Norway rat) is the source of this 137-nucleotide small nucleolar RNA. Ensembl annotates it as small nucleolar RNA SNORA17. NCBI's taxonomy places the organism in Eukaryota, Metazoa, Chordata, Mammalia, Rodentia, Muridae. The record is from Ensembl.
CCUGCCCCCAGAGGCAUUCUAGGUGUGGUUGCAGUGUCUCAUGUAUGUCAGUAGGUGGCAGAGAGGAGAGAAGAGAGGAUAUGUCUAUGUUUGGUGUUCUAAUGUGUGAAGAUCUGAACGACAAGUAGACUAAGACU